Molecule: long non-coding RNA, 895 nt
Organism: Ahaetulla prasina
Lineage: Eukaryota; Metazoa; Chordata; Lepidosauria; Squamata; Colubridae
Exons: 2
Source: RefSeq, a predicted model, not a curated record
UCCUUCCAGCUCACCAAAGCUGAGAUGUUGCUCCUGCUCGGGCCGCACCAGGACGGCCGCCCUCUGGCCGGUGAGUCCGCAAGAGACGUUGACGAAGACCGGUGCUGCCCUCCGGUGGAGGGAGAGUGGGCUUCAGUUCCCAGAAUCCCCCAGGGCAGCAAAUCUGGCUGGAGAAUUCUGGGAGCCUGAAGUCCAUCCAUUUUGAGAACUUAAGAAGACACCCGAGGUUGAGUUAGAUUGAAGCAGGGAUGGGUGAAGAAACAUCUCCAGAUGUUGGAUUUCAAGUCUUUUUAUCGGUGCCCUGAGCCAUGAUGCUGGGAAUUAUAACUCGGUCGUUACGUCAAGAGGUCAACACUCUGGACUUCGGCUCCCAGAAUGCCACGGGUGUGAACCACUGACUUUCUCCGCAUGGCCCAGGUGAUGGCACCUCCGGUCCUUCCCAGUCCCUGCCGUUUUCCUUGAAGACUUACAGACCCCUCGCAUCCUGGACAUAAACUGUUUCAACUCCUACCCUCAAAAUGAUGCUAUAGAGCACUGCACACCAGAACUAGACACAAGAACAGUUUUUUCCCAAAGGCCAUCACUCUGCUAAACAAAUAAUUCCCUCAACGCUGUCAAACUAUUUAGUGAAUCUGCACUACUAUUAAUCUUCUCAUCGUUCCCAUCACCCGUCUCCUCCCACUUAUGACUGUAUGACUGUAUCCUUAUGAUUUAUAUUGAUUGUUUCCUAGUAUGAUUCGAUUGCUUAUUUGUUCCCUAUGACUAUCAUUAAGUGUUGCACCUUAUGAUUCUUGAGGAACGUAUCUUUUCUUUUAUGUACACUGAGAGCUUAUGCACCGAGGACAAAUUCCUUGUGUGUCCCAUCACACUUGGCCAAUAAAAAAAUUCUAUUCUA